Non-coding RNA from Podarcis lilfordi (Lilford's wall lizard), 1327 nucleotides. The record is from the annotation of a GenBank genome assembly. Lineage: Eukaryota; Metazoa; Chordata; Lepidosauria; Squamata; Lacertidae.
ACAGAGAUUCUACUGAGAACAAAAAGACUGCUGGUCACAUUCUACUACAAUGCAGGCAAUCUCCUGGACCAGGAAGGCACCUGAUAAGCAAGGAACAGUGAGAUCUUCUUAUUUCUUAUGCACAUGUGUGAGGGGGGGGUGAGCGGGUUGUGGACUAUGUAGGAUGACAUCAUAUAGGAAAGAGCCAUAGCUGAAUGACAGCACUACACAAACUAAACAAAAGCUCUGACUCAUUACAAGGCCACGUUUCAUUGUCGUGAUCACCACAUAUGGAUUGGUGCUUUCUAUACAUGGCUAAUGGGAGGGGCAUUAUUAGUGUGAAACCACGGAAUCGUAGGACUGUAGGGUUGGAAGUUGACCCCCCCAAGGGGUCAUCUAGCCGAACCCCCUGAACACAGGAAUCACAGCUGAAGAAUCCCUGGGAGAUGGCUAUCCAACCUCUAUUUAAAAACCUCCAGGGACAGAGAGUCCACCACCCUUCAGGGUGGUCCAUUCCACUGUUGAACAGAGCUCUUACCGUCAGAAAGUUCUUCCUAACAUAUAGUCAGGAUCUCUUUUCUUGUAAUGUGAGUCCAUUGGUUCGGAUCCUACCCUCUGGAGUAGCAGAAAACAAACUACCAUGUGGCACUCCUUUAGAUACCUGAAGAUGGCUAUGUCAGUGGUCUACUAAACCCCCCUAGAUCAUUUUCACAUUCACUGCUGUCAAGCCACCCUACAUUUGUGCAUCUGGUUAUUCCUGCCUAAGUGUAGAAGGAGGAGUUAGCAGAUGAUGAUGAUGAUGAUGAUGAUGAUGAUUACCCUAGCCACUCUGGGCAGCUUCCAACAUAUAUAAAAACAUUAUAAAACAUUACACGUUAAAAAGCUUCCCUAUACAAGGCUGCCUUCAGAUGUCUUCUAAAGGUUGUAUUAUCUCUUUGACAUCUGAUACCAGGGUGGGUGCCACUACUGAGAAGGCCUGGUUCCCUGUAACUUCACUUCUCACCAUGAGGGAACCACCAGAACGCCCUCAGUGCUGGAUCUGUGUCCCGGCUGAACAAUGGGGAUGGAGAUACUCCUUCAGCUAUCUUGUCUCUUGUUCCCAUAACUGUUCUUGUGCUUUUUUUUCUUUGCUGCCAGAAGUACCGAAGAUCACGACUAAGCUAUGCUAGUUUGAGACCAACCUAACAGCAGCUGGCACAGAGGAACUGUAGGCUUGGCCUGCCUGUUUAUCCUGAUGUAAACUCAGACGACAUCAAUAAGAGACCCACAGACAAAGGCAACAGGUGAACAAUAUAUGAAACACCUCAGUGGGAAAUCUGAAUGAGGGCCUUAUCUAAUUAAAGAGGGC